This 661-nucleotide long non-coding RNA is filed under the name Physcomitrium patens. RNAcentral describes it as "long non-coding RNA (PPAT_LNC005700)". Lineage: Eukaryota; Viridiplantae; Streptophyta; Bryopsida; Funariales; Funariaceae. The record is from RNAcentral.
AAUUUCGAUCCUUUUUAAAUUUUUUUUUGUGCUUAUUAUCAACUUAAUUGUUAAGAGAUGUAUAAAAUUUGAUUUAAAAUCAAUGGUUCAUUCAUUAAUUAUUGAGGUUUAAAUUUGCUAUAGGAAUUACUUGGGAUUGAUUAGGAUUUGAUUUAGGAUUAGAAUCAGGAUUUUGGAUUGAUUUAAGAUUUGAUUAGUGUUAAGAUUUGGUUAGAAUUUUGGAUUGAUUUAAGAUUUAGUUAAGAUUAGGAUUUGGUUAGGAUUUUGGAUUGAUUUAAGGUUUGAUUAGGAUUAUAAUUUUGUUAGGAUUUGUUUAGGAUUUGAUUAGGAUUUGAUUAAGAUUUAAUUAGAGUUUGACUAGAAUUUAUCUAAGAUUUGGUUAGAGCUUAAUUAGGACUUGUUUGAGAUUUGACUAAGAUUUUAUUAGGGUUUGAUUAGGAUUUAUUUAGAAUUUGAUUAGAAUUUGAUUAAAAAUUGAUUAGGACUUAUUUAGGAUUUGUUUAGGAUUUUUUUAGAAUUUAACUAGGAUUUGUUUAGGAUUUUUUUAGGAUUUUUUUAGGAUUUUUUUAAGAUUUGGUUAUAACUUAUUUAGGAGUUGAUUAGGAUUUGAUAAAGAUUUUACCAAGUUUUGACUAAGGUUUGAUUAAGCUUUGAAUAAAUU